This 497-nucleotide ribosomal RNA is filed under the name uncultured bacterium. RNAcentral describes it as "partial 16S ribosomal RNA". It matches the Rfam family "Bacterial small subunit ribosomal RNA", at positions 28 to 507 of the family's 1533-position model. The record is from RNAcentral.
GAUGAACGCUGGCGGCGUGCCUAAUACAUGCAAGUCGAGCGAACGGACGAGAAGCUUGCUGGUCUGAUGUUAGGGGCGGACGGGUGAGUCACAUGUGGAUAACGUACCUAUAAGACUGGGAUAACUUCGGGAAACCGGAGCUAAUACCGGAGAAUAUCCUGAACCACAUGGUUCAAAAGUGAAAGACGGUCUUGCUGUCACUUAUAGAUGGAUCCGCGCUGCAUUAGCUAGUUGGUAAGUUAACGGCUUACCAAGGCAACGAUGCAUAGCCGACCGGAGAGGGGGAUAGCCCACACUAGAACUGAGACACGGUCCAGGGUCCUGCGAGAGGCAGCAGUAGGGUAUCUUCCGCAGUGGGCGAAAGCCUGACGGAGCGACGCCGCGUGAGUUAUGAAAGUCUUCGGAUCGUAAAACUCUGUUAUUAGGGAAGAACAUAUUUGUAAUUAACUGUGCACAUCUUGACGGUACCUAGUCAAAAAGCCACGGCUAACUACGUG